Molecule: transfer RNA, 89 nt
Filed under: Pelomonas sp. Root1237
Lineage: Bacteria; Pseudomonadati; Pseudomonadota; Betaproteobacteria; Burkholderiales; Sphaerotilaceae
Description: tRNA-Leu
Rfam family: tRNA
About the family: Transfer RNA (tRNA) molecules are approximately 80 nucleotides in length. Their secondary structure includes four short double-helical elements and three loops (D, anti-codon, and T loops).
Source: RNAcentral
GCCGGCGUGGCGAAACUGGUUCACGCAGCAGGCCCAAACCCUGUCUCCCGAAUUCGGGAAUGUCGGUUCGAUCCCGACCGCCGGCACCA